GACUGGGUGGCUCAGUCGGUAGAGCAUGUGACUUUUGAUCUCGGGGUUGUGAGUUUAAGCCCCACAUUAGGCA
RNAcentral lists this transfer RNA (73 nucleotides) under Felis catus (domestic cat). It matches the Rfam family "tRNA". From Rfam's summary of the family: Transfer RNA (tRNA) molecules are approximately 80 nucleotides in length. Their secondary structure includes four short double-helical elements and three loops (D, anti-codon, and T loops). Further hydrogen bonds mediate the characteristic L-shaped molecular structure. tRNAs have two regions of fundamental functional importance: the anti-codon, which is responsible for specific mRNA codon recognition, and the 3' end, to which the tRNAs corresponding amino acid is attached (by aminoacyl-tRNA synthetases). tRNAs cope with the degeneracy of the genetic code in two manners: having more than one tRNA (with a specific anti-codon) for a particular amino acid; and 'wobble' base-pairing, i.e. permitting non-standard base-pairing at the 3rd anti-codon position. The record is from Rfam by way of RNAcentral. RNAcentral also lists the same sequence under 2 other names. Lineage: Eukaryota; Metazoa; Chordata; Mammalia; Carnivora; Felidae.